GUGCCAGCAGCCGCGGUAAUACCGGAAGGGUGCAAGCGUUAAUCGGAAUUACUGGGCGUAAAGCGCACGCAGGCGGUUUGUUAAGUCAGAUGUGAAAUCCCCGGGCUCAACCUGGGAACUGCAUCUGAUACUGGCAAGCUUGAGUCUCGUAGAGGGGGGUAGAAUUCCAGGUGUAGCGGUGAAAUGCGUAGAGAUCUGGAGGAAUACCGGUGACGAAGGCGGCCCCCUGGACGAAGACUGACGCUCAGGUGCGAAAGCGUGGGGAGCAAACAGGAUUAGAUACCCUGAUAGUCC
RNAcentral lists this ribosomal RNA (294 nucleotides) under uncultured microorganism. RNAcentral's name for it is "partial 16S ribosomal RNA". It matches the Rfam family "Bacterial small subunit ribosomal RNA", at positions 505 to 796 of the family's 1533-position model. The record is from RNAcentral.